UGGGGAAUAUUGCACAAUGGGCGCAAGCCUGAUGCAGCCAUGCCGCGUGGGUGAAGAAGGCCUUCGGGUUGUAAAGCACUUUCAGCGGGGAGGAAGGCGGUGAGGUUAAUAACCUCAUCGAUUGACGUUACCCGCAGAAGAAGCACCGGCUAACUCCGUGCCAGCAGCCGCGGUAAUACGGAGGGUGCAAGCGUUAAUCGGAAUUACUGGGCGUAAAGCGCACGCAGGCGGUCUGUCAAGUCGGAUGUGAAAUCCCCGGGCUCAACCUGGGGACUGCAUUCGAAACUGGCAGGCUAGAGUCUUGUAGAGGGGGGUAGAAUUCCAGGUGUAGCGGUGAAAUGCGUAGAGAUCUGGAGGAAUACCGGUGGCGAAGGCCGCCCCCUGGACAAAGACUGACGCUCAGGUGCGAAAGCGUGGGGAGCAAAAAGG
Molecule: ribosomal RNA, 429 nt
Filed under: Chloroflexota bacterium
Lineage: Bacteria; Bacillati; Chloroflexota
Description: Chloroflexi bacterium partial 16S ribosomal RNA
Rfam family: Bacterial small subunit ribosomal RNA
Source: RNAcentral